GAUGAACGCUAGCGGGAUGCCUAACACAUGCAAGCCGAGCGGUAGAGUUUCUUCGGAAACUUGAGAGCGGCGCACGGGUGCGUAACACGUGUGCAACCUACCUUUAUCUGGGGGAUAGCCUUUCGAAAGGAAGAUUAAUACCCCAUAAUAUAAUGAUUGGCAUCAAUUAUGAUUGAAAACUCCGGUGGAUAGAGAUGGGCACGCGCAAGAUUAGAUAGUUGGUGAGGUAACGGCUCACCAAGUCAAUGAUCUUUAGGGGUCCUGAGAGGGAGAUCCCCCAGACUGGUACUGAGACCCGGACCAGACUGCUACGGGAGGCAGCAGUGAGGAAUAUUGGGCAAGGGGUGAGGACCUGAUCAAGCCAUCCCGCGUGAAGGAUGACGGUCCUAGGGAUUGUAAACUUCUUUUGUAGAGGGAUAAACCUACCCUCGUGGGGGUAGCUGAAGGUACUGUACGAAUAAGCACCGGCUAACUCCGUG
This 479-nucleotide ribosomal RNA is filed under the name uncultured bacterium. Its description in RNAcentral is "partial 16S ribosomal RNA". It matches the Rfam family "Bacterial small subunit ribosomal RNA", at positions 28 to 507 of the family's 1533-position model. The record is from RNAcentral.